Long non-coding RNA from Drosophila persimilis, 1354 nucleotides. RefSeq lists it as uncharacterized. The record is from RefSeq and is a predicted model, not a curated record. The transcript has 4 exons. Lineage: Eukaryota; Metazoa; Arthropoda; Insecta; Diptera; Drosophilidae.
GCUCGAAGUCUUUUUCUCAAUCAUAAACCCUCCGAAGUCACAUCCGUAUGCAUACGAGUGAACAGCCCUACCAAUGCUCUAACUGCACCAAGGCAUUUAAACGUAAAGGACAUCGAGAAUGAAUCAUUUGCCCGCGCAAAAGCCCCGAUUAAAUCUAUAACUGUUUUUCACUGAGCAUUUUGUAGCGGGCGAACGAAAGCUAAGAUUCACUCUGAUUAAUAAUAACCGUGUGCAUAUUUAAUGGUUUUAAUAAAUCUAUAUCAUCAAGAAAGAAUCAGGAAGAAUCAUCAAGAAUGUGGACAGUUACGCCGAUGACGUCCACUGAUAUGUUAGUCGACCGUUAAACAUAAUAGAUGAGUGUAUCAACGUUAGCUCAUUGGAAUAAUGACGUACGACGAACGUGCCUCGCAGGUGCAUGCAUUACCGAAAUCGUCUUCCCUCCUGCACGAUGCUUUACCUCAUCGGCUUGGACCGGCUCUAUUUGGCGAGACGCUUUCUGGAGACAAACUGCUAUGCCGUGAUCCCCUCCUCUGACCCCGCCAGCAGGUCGCACCCUCGGGUGGCAAGGAAUACCUCUUGAGUGCCCGCGGAUACCGAUAUGACCAGGGGCAUCACCUUUUUGGUCUUCCGGUUCAUAUAAGCAAGUGUGCGCCUGAUGAUGUCUGUCCAAUUCAGGCGCCUGACCAGCUGACAUCGCGAACUCCCAGCCGGCUCUCGAGCCAUGAUUCUUGUUGCUUUUUGUUUUCUCCUCCACUGGUGAUUCCGCCGUAGUUCCUCGUCCUCUGUGACAGCCACUGGCUUGCCUGUCCUGAUGCCGCUGAAACGUUAGUGAUGAUCAGUGAGCUGCAGUGAUCGACGGCGGAGUUGUUGGUUCACGCCAACGGGAAAUAAUGUCAGCAACCCCCCAUUCAUAAGCUGCCGAAUGAAACGCUGGGCUUCAGCUUCGAGACGCGGGUUUUUGGAGUCCUUAGCGAAGUAUCAAGGAUAUUUUUCCAAAUACACGAACCUAUGGAACGGCCAGAUCGGCCCACAAAUAACGAAGAAAACAGGAAAAAUAUGACUGCAGAAAAUAUCCUGGAUCUUUGGCCCAUGAGAACUUACAUAUGUACCCUACGCUUUGCCACAAACCAUGUCGUAUCUGAUUUGACCCAGCCAGACGGUCCUAUCCAAGCAUGAGCGAGGCGUUUUCGAGUCAGACCGAGUAUCCCAUUGCAAGAUUCAUACCUAACAAGCCAUCGUCAUCCUUCAACAUGGUGAUCGACAACAAGGACUUUGACUAUGGCCACCAAGGGAGGCCCUACGCGGGACGCUAGAUACACUCAUCCAUUCAUUUAGAUAGUACUUAAAAAAUGUU